Molecule: ribosomal RNA, 297 nt
Filed under: uncultured Pseudomonadota bacterium
Lineage: Bacteria; Pseudomonadati; Pseudomonadota
Description: uncultured proteobacterium partial 16S ribosomal RNA
Rfam family: Bacterial small subunit ribosomal RNA
Source: RNAcentral
AGCGAACGCUGGCGGCAGGCUUAACACAUGCAAGUCGAGCGGCCGUAGCAAUACGGCAGCGGCAGACGGGAGAGUAACACGUGGGAACGUGCCCAUCAGUUCGGAACAACCCAGGGAAACUUGGGCUAAUACCGGAUACGCCCUUACGGGGAAAGAUUUAUCGCUGAUGGAGCGGCCCGCGUCUGAUUAGCUUGUUGGUGAGGUAACGGCUCACCAAGGCGACGAUCAGUAGCUGGUCUGAGAGGAUGAUCAGCCUCACUGGGACUGAGACACGGCCCAGACUCCUACGGGUGGCUG